CAGCCGCCGCGGUAACACGGAGGGAGCUAGCGUUGUUCGGAAUUACUGGGCGUAAAGCGCACGUAGGCGGCUUUGUAAGUCAGAGGUGAAAGCCUGGAGCUCAACUCCAGAACUGCCUUUGAGACUGCAUCGCUCGAAUCCGGGAGAGGUGAGUGGAAUUCCGAGUGUAGAGGUGAAAUUCGUAGAUAUUCGGAAGAACACCAGUGGCGAAGGCGGCUCACUGGACCGGUAUUGACGCUGAGGUGCGAAAGCGUGGGGAGCAAACAGGAUUAGAUACCCCUGUAGUCCCUGUCUCUUAUAC
This 301-nucleotide ribosomal RNA is filed under the name uncultured bacterium. RNAcentral describes it as "partial 16S ribosomal RNA". It matches the Rfam family "Bacterial small subunit ribosomal RNA", at positions 509 to 807 of the family's 1533-position model. The record is from RNAcentral.